Molecule: ribosomal RNA, 793 nt
Filed under: uncultured bacterium
Lineage: Bacteria
Description: bacterial SSU rRNA
Rfam family: Bacterial small subunit ribosomal RNA
Source: RNAcentral
GAGACGCUGGCGGCGGCCUACACAUGCAAGUCGAGCGAGACCUUCGGGUCUAGCGGCGGACGGGUUAGUAACGCGUGGGAAUUUACCCUUCACUACGGAAUAGCCUCGGGAAACUGGGAGUAAUACCGUAUACGCCCUUUUGGGGAAAGAUUUAUCGGUGAAGGAUUAGCCCGCGUCUGAUUAGAUAGUUGGUGGGGUAAUGGCCUACCAAGUCUACGAUCAGUAGCUGGUUUGAGAGGAUGAUCAGCAACACUGGGACUGAGACACGGCCCAGACUCCUACGGGAGGCAGCAGUGGGGAAUCUUAGACAAUGGGCGCAAGCCUGAUCUAGCCAUGCCGCGUGAGUGACGAAGGCCUUAGGGUCGUAAAGCUCUUUCGCCAGAGAUGAUAAUGACAGUAUUUGGUAAAGAAACCCCGGCUAACUCCGUGCCAGCAGCCGCGGUAAUACGGAGGGGGUUAGCGUUGUUCGGAAUUACUGGGCGUAAAGCGCACGUAGGCGGAUUGGAAAGUAUGGGGUGAAAUCCCAGGGCUCAACCCUGGAACUGCCUUGUAAACUCCCAGUCUAGAGUUCGAGAGAGGUGAGUGGAAUUCCAAGUGUAGAGGUGAAAUUCGUAGAUAUUUGGAGGAACACCCAGUGGCGAAGGCGGCUCACUGGCUCGAUACUGGACGCUGAGGUGCGAAAGUGUGGGGAGCAAACAGGAUUAGAUACCCUGGUAGUCCACACCGUAAACGAUGAAUGCCAGACGUCAGGGGGCUUGCCCUUUGGUGUCACACCUAACGGAUUAAGCAUUCC